AUUCCAGCUCCAAUAGCGUAUAUUAAUGUUGUUGCAGUUAAAAAGCUCGUAGUUGGAUUUCUGCGCCGCGCAACUCGGUCCGCUGCACUGCAGUGUGAUGUGUGGUUGGAGCGUCGCAUCCUUGUGGGGACUGUUUGUGUCAUUAAUUUGAUGGAUUCCGGAACCGCAUCGUUUACUGUGAAAAAAUUAGAGUGUUCAAAGCAGGCUUAUGCCGUGAAUACAUUAGCAUGGAAUAACGAAUGGGUCUACAAUUUGGUUGAUUGUAGAUUGCGAUUAAUAGGGACAGUUGGGGGCAUUAGUAUUUAAUUGUCAGAGGUGAAGUUCUUGGAUUAGUUAAAGACUAACGUAUGCGAAAGCAUUUGCCAAGGAUGUUUUCAUUG
RNAcentral lists this ribosomal RNA (380 nucleotides) under Stramenopiles sp. MAST-3J. RNAcentral's name for it is "partial small subunit ribosomal RNA". It matches the Rfam family "Eukaryotic small subunit ribosomal RNA", at positions 582 to 975 of the family's 1831-position model. The record is from RNAcentral.